This 1125-nucleotide long non-coding RNA is filed under the name Vigna radiata. Its description in RNAcentral is "long non-coding RNA (VRAD_LNC010653)". Lineage: Eukaryota; Viridiplantae; Streptophyta; Magnoliopsida; Fabales; Fabaceae. The record is from RNAcentral.
CUGCCAAAAAAUUGUAGAUGACUCAAUUCCUACCCAGAAAGAUGCAAGCUCAUCAACAUUCAUAAUGAACAGUACUUGACGGUUGACACCCAAGACCAGUUAACCCAUGGCAACUUGGCAAGGAAAUCAACAAAACAGUUUGCCAAUAGAUCUCUAGUGGGUAGGUUUUGUUAUGCAUCCUUCUACAUCACUACCACAUAAUUAUACAAUGAAUGCACUUCAAUAUGAGAAACUUAGCAGUGGACGCAUUAACUACUAGGAAAGCGGAAACUGCACAUUGCAUAAAUCAAAUAGGGGUAGAACAAUAACAACCAAAACUUUCUAUCUCAUACUCAUGAUGAGUAUAGAAAUGCAGUCAUGAACUAACCCGUAAGCUAUUGUUCAAUAUAUACUUUCUCCUUGUUUGGUUUAUCACAUUUCUUUACCAUGCUCCAUACGAUAAGAGUUUGAUGUUAACCAAUAGAACAAAUGUUAUAAUUUAAGAGCUGCUAAAGUGUGAACAACUGGUUCACUAUUAUACUGCAUGAAAACCUUACAAAGUUCAGAGAAUUUAAGCACAUCAAAUCAUCUUCUCUGUCCAAUUUAAAUCAUUGUUUAUGAAAAUGAGAUUUUUCUCUCAAUCACGACGUUCAUCAUUUAAUCACAUUGCUGCCUUAAUAGAUUCUACCAUUCACAGCAUAAAGUCCAAUAGAUUAAGCAGAAAACAAACGGCAGUACACAAGUUAUAUUCCAACAUUACAUUGAGGAAGUAUAGAUUAGCAAACACACUCUGGUAAGGUGCGUAGAACACACCUAUGGUAACAGCAAAAACAAGAAACAGCUGAUCAUGACAACAUCAAUAUAUAAAAAGAGAUUAAAACUUGAGCACGGUGCACCAGGGCAUCACUCUGUUGGAAUACAAAUUUUGGGAAGUUACACAAGAAAUUAGAGAGUGUAUCAACCUUUGCUGAAGUAGAAAGAGUUAAGCCUUACUUACCUGUGAUCUUAAUUUUGUCUCCAGGCUUUGAGUCACACAGAAAAUUGCUACAGACGCCAUUCUUGGACGGAUCUUCCUUUCCUGUCUCAGGAUCAUAGUAAACAGCACGGCGCACACACAAGCUGGCUGUUUUACCAUCAAAAGAGUCU